RNAcentral lists this transfer RNA (70 nucleotides) under Loxodonta africana (African savanna elephant). It matches the Rfam family "tRNA". Rfam says of the family: Transfer RNA (tRNA) molecules are approximately 80 nucleotides in length. The record is from Rfam by way of RNAcentral. Lineage: Eukaryota; Metazoa; Chordata; Mammalia; Proboscidea; Elephantidae.
GCAGUGGUGUUCAGUGGUAGAAUUCUUGCCUUCCAUGUGAGAGACCUGGUUUUGAUUCCCAUCCAAUGCA